GCAAACUUGGUCAUUUAGAGGAAGUAAAAGUCGUAACAAGGUAACCGUAGGUGAACCUGCGGUUGGAUCAUUACUGAUUUUUGAAGUUUGUCAAGGUUUUUGAUGCUCUUUUUUUAGAGCUCACCUUUUCAACUUCUUUUCACACUAUGUGCAACUUUAUGUUUUUUUGGGUAUUUAGAGUUUGACUUUAAUGCCCAAACAUUUUUUUUAAACCUUUGUUUUUUAUUUUGUCUGAUUUAUAUCGUUUAAAAAAUCGAUAACAACUUUUGACAACGGAUCUCUUGGCUCUCGCAUCGAUGAAGAACGCAGC
This 310-nucleotide unclassified non-coding RNA is filed under the name uncultured fungus. RNAcentral's name for it is "partial contains small subunit ribosomal RNA, internal transcribed spacer 1, and 5.8S ribosomal RNA". The stretch from base 1 to 73 matches the Rfam family "Eukaryotic small subunit ribosomal RNA", at positions 1759 to 1831 of the family's 1831-position model. Lineage: Eukaryota; Fungi. The record is from RNAcentral.